GGGAGUAUAGCUCAACUGGCAGAGCAGGCGGCUUUUAACCGUCUGGUUGCGGGUUCAAGUCCUGCUGCUCCCA
RNAcentral lists this transfer RNA (73 nucleotides) under Coleofasciculus chthonoplastes PCC 7420. Its description in RNAcentral is "Microcoleus chthonoplastes PCC 7420 tRNA". It matches the Rfam family "tRNA". From Rfam's summary of the family: Transfer RNA (tRNA) molecules are approximately 80 nucleotides in length. Their secondary structure includes four short double-helical elements and three loops (D, anti-codon, and T loops). Further hydrogen bonds mediate the characteristic L-shaped molecular structure. tRNAs have two regions of fundamental functional importance: the anti-codon, which is responsible for specific mRNA codon recognition, and the 3' end, to which the tRNAs corresponding amino acid is attached (by aminoacyl-tRNA synthetases). tRNAs cope with the degeneracy of the genetic code in two manners: having more than one tRNA (with a specific anti-codon) for a particular amino acid; and 'wobble' base-pairing, i.e. permitting non-standard base-pairing at the 3rd anti-codon position. Lineage: Bacteria; Bacillati; Cyanobacteriota; Cyanophyceae; Coleofasciculales; Coleofasciculaceae. The record is from Rfam by way of RNAcentral.